This 314-nucleotide long non-coding RNA is filed under the name Mytilus galloprovincialis (Mediterranean mussel). Lineage: Eukaryota; Metazoa; Mollusca; Bivalvia; Mytilida; Mytilidae. The record is from RNAcentral.
UGUAGUUGUUAAUUUCUGUGUCAUUUGGUCUCUUGCAGAGAGUUGUCACAUUGGCAAUCAGACCUUAUGAUGGCUUAUCUUCUUCUUUUUAUUGAUUGCAUUUGAAUAAGCUUUUUUCAACUUAAAAAAAAACAGGAAACAAACCCAAUGAGUGUACAUUGGCCUAUCAGAUGGUGCCUCAUGUUUAGAGUCUGAUGAGACUGGCAUUGAUGAAAACUAGAACCUAAUUCCUGUGACAUGACUAGUUUCGCAGUUGUACUUGACUCAUAUUUUUGAAAAGUAUUUCAAAAGAAAUAAUUCAAAUUCUGUUAUAU